AACCUCCGCAAUGUGAGAAAUCGCGACGGGGGGAUCCCAAGUGCCAUUCUUAACGGGAUGGCUUUUCAUUAGUGUAAAGAGCUUUUGGAAUAAGAGCUGGGCAAGACCGGUGCCAGCCGCCGCGGUAACACCGGCAGCUCUAGUGGUAACAAUUUUUAUUGGGCCUAAAGCGUCCGUAGCCGGUUUAAUAAGUCUCUGGUGAAAUCCUGCAGCUUAACUGUGGGAAUUGCUGGAGAUACUAUUAGACUUGAGACCGGGAGAGGUUAGAGGUACUCCCAGGGUAGAGGUGAAAUUCUGUAAUCCUGGGAGGACCGCCUGUUGCGAAGGCGUCUAACUGGAACGGUUCUGACGGUGAGGGACGAAAGUUAGGGGCGCGAACCGGAUUAGAUACCCGGGUAGUCCUAACUGUAAACGAUGCGGACUUGGUGUUGGGGUGGCUUUGAGCUGCUUCAGUGCCGAAGGGAAGCUGUUAAGUCCGCCGCCUGGGAAGUACGGUCGCAAGACUAGAACUUAAAGGAAUU
RNAcentral lists this ribosomal RNA (521 nucleotides) under uncultured bacterium. Its description in RNAcentral is "bacterial SSU rRNA". It matches the Rfam family "Archaeal small subunit ribosomal RNA", at positions 345 to 866 of the family's 1478-position model. The record is from RNAcentral.